Molecule: long non-coding RNA, 1806 nt
Organism: Entelurus aequoreus (snake pipefish)
Lineage: Eukaryota; Metazoa; Chordata; Actinopteri; Syngnathiformes; Syngnathidae
Exons: 4
Source: RefSeq, a predicted model, not a curated record
GCUUCCAGGAAGUCAGAUUUGGUCAAAAUUGAAAAGCAGACAAGUCGUGUACGUUCUAACAAGCCUUGGUAAAGCAUCCUGCCGCUGGAUCGUCAUCGCUUGUGCAGGAAAUCAGCGUUAAGGAAACAACGGAGGGUGAAAAAGGCUCAUUGGGGAGACGGUGAAGUCGCGGAACAACACAACUCAACUGCAACCUGAAGGCCAAGCGUUCCUCCGUUUCCUGAUUUCGAGCUGUGUGUCUCGUCUCCCCGAAUUCCCUCUGGUUCCCUGGCUGCCUUCCUGGAUCUCGACCUCUCGCCUGGACACAAACCUUGACGCCUCGCUCCUGCCCCUGACCUCUUGCUGUCACACCGCAUUGAGGGAUGUCUUGUCUUGGUUUCUUCUGUCUUGUGAAUUGCAUGUUUUACUUUGAAAAUUAACUCCUUUCAUGUGAGAUCACUUGCUCUUCCUUUUGUGUCAUCAGUCUGACGUCAUCCCUGACCCUUGAUUGUUUCCACCUGUUCCCCAUUUCCCUCGUGUGUUUUAUAAGCCCACGCCUCCCUUUGUUCUGUGCCAGAUUGUCUCGUUUAUUCGUGCUCUCUAGCAUCCAUGUCCAUGUCCAUGCCUUGCCUUGUCUCCUGCUUAUGUUCCUUGAUCCUGAAUCCCUUUGUUGUUAUUUUGAGUUUUCCUUUCUUCCUCCUCAGCAGAGUGAUUUUUUGUUAUUUAGUUUAUUCAGCCGGAGUGGUGAGUUAUCAGUUAUUUUUUAAUUCUUUCCUCAAAUUUUUGAGUGACAAUUUUUGUUAAACUUUAGUAGAUUAGAUAGUGUCGAAUUUUUCAUAGCUGUUGUUUCUUCCUCCUGUUGGAGCGUUUUUUGUUAAUACAUUUUAUAGCAUACACGGCGCCAAUUAUAGUUCGUCUUUGCUUUUGUGUUUUCCUCCGUUCGGAGUGAUUUUUGGUUGUUCCUAUUUUUUGGAACCUUUUUCGCCGAUGGUUAAUAUAGAUCAGUGUUUUUCAACCACUGAGAUAUUGUCUGGUGUGCCGUGGGAAAUUAUGCAACUUCACCUAAUUUAACCCAAAAAUAUUUUUUGCAAAUCAAAAAUUAGAAUCUGCCAAUAAUGUGCCGUUGCUUAGAGUCUGUGCUGUGUAAAACUCGGCAGGGUAACCACGUAAUACUCCAUGUCAGUAGGUGGCAGCAUUGCUUUGUAAAAGUCGGAAUGUGUCGGGUGAGACGAGGAUGGUUUGUUGUGAUCCCGAUAUGCAGACCACAGUGGGAGGCAGAGUGCAGGUAAAAAGGGUAUGUAAUGCAUAAACCCAAAAUGAACGAAAGGAAAAGGCUAUGCAAAACAAAAGUCAAACUGAACUGGCUACAAAGUAAACAGAGACAGAAUGCUGGACGACAGCAAAAACUUACGGCAUCCACAAAGUACAUCCGUACGUGACAUGACAAUCAACAAUGUCCACACAAAGAAGGAUAGCAACAACGUAAAUAGCCUUGCUUGCUAACACAAAGCAGGUGCGCGGAAUAGCGCUCAAAGGAAGACAUGAAGCCACUACAAGAAAACACCGGCAAAACAGGAAGGGCCACCAAAAUAAGCAAGACAAGAACUAAAGCACUACACACAGGAAGACACCAACACACUCAAAAUAAGACACGACGACUUGGUGGAGUUACAUUUUUUAAAGUUUUCUGCUGGUGGUGUGCCUCCGGAUUUUUUUCAUGACAAAAAUGUGCCUUGCCUCAAAAAAGGUUGAAAAACACUGAUAUAGAUAUUGUAAUUCCUUGACUUUGGAGGUGAAAGGAAGCUGUCAAAAUAAAAGCCUGUCAAA